This 198-nucleotide ribosomal RNA is filed under the name uncultured bacterium. RNAcentral's name for it is "partial 16S ribosomal RNA". It matches the Rfam family "Bacterial small subunit ribosomal RNA", at positions 328 to 539 of the family's 1533-position model. The record is from RNAcentral.
ACGCUCGACACCUACGGGAGGUAGCAGUGGGGAAUAUUGCACAAUGGGGGAAACCCGUGAUGCAGCGACGCCGCGUGGAGGAAGAAGGUCUUCGGAUUGUAAACUCCUGUUGUUGGGGAAAAAGAGGAUGGUACCCAACAAGGAAGUGACGGCUAACUACGUGCCACAGCCGCGGUAAUCUGAGCGGGCUGGCAAGGC